Small nucleolar RNA from Coregonus clupeaformis (lake whitefish), 114 nucleotides. RefSeq annotates it as small nucleolar RNA SNORA65. The record is from RefSeq and is a predicted model, not a curated record. The transcript has a single exon. NCBI's taxonomy places the organism in Eukaryota, Metazoa, Chordata, Actinopteri, Salmoniformes, Salmonidae.
CCUGCCACUUUGCCUGUCUGAGUAUAGCCCAGUGGAGGCUAAGAUGGACCCAGCUUUUGGAAACAGGGCUGCCCACACAGUGGGCAACUCUGUGCUGAAAGGCCUAGAACAAAA